Molecule: long non-coding RNA, 789 nt
Organism: Papaver somniferum (opium poppy)
Lineage: Eukaryota; Viridiplantae; Streptophyta; Magnoliopsida; Ranunculales; Papaveraceae
Exons: 2
Source: RefSeq, a predicted model, not a curated record
UGCACCUACAGUUUGAGAUGCUCUAAAUCAAUAAACAGGACUGGAAUGUGCACACCGGUUUUGAGGGGUGCACAAAUUUGGACUCUCCUUUGGUUUACAAAUCGAAACAUGAAAAAGAAAAGGAAAAAACAAGAAAUCAGUGAGAGUUUGAGCUUGGAAAUCCAUCAAACGUUGAUGGUGAUCAGACUCCCUAGUUUUACUUUGACGUGAAUUAAGCGAAACAAACAUAUUUUGAGCCCUUGUUUGAUUAGCAAGAUUGGGUUGUCGGAGAAAUUGACAUCCUGCGGGGGAGGAGCUAUGUGAGAACCUGAAUCAAACAACGGAGAAACAUUUCUGCAAGCGCGACACUGCACAUUUACUGUUUGUCGAAAAUCCUGAAAGAAAAGAAAAAAAGGGUACAAUCUCUCAUGACUUUCUUUAAUUAUUUCAGUAAUGAUAUGGGUGGCUACAGAAAUAGAAUUGCUAAGUUUCCCAUGAACUACUAGUAAACUUGCUGAUUUUGUACCUAAAUUGAUCUUAUAAUUUAGCUUUGUUUUGUGUACUUCGAUAUUCAUUUUACUACCUGGUGUCGAGAAAUAAUGUAGGGCCUAGAGACUUGGAGUGUUGUUCGUUUCGUACAUUGUGAUUACUUAUUUAGUAAAUUGCUAACUUCAUUGCUUGAGACUGUAAGAUGAUUUAUCGAACUCUAAUGCUCGCUAAAAGAUUGUUACGCUCCUACUAAUUAUGUAUGUGAAUUGAAUGAAGACUCGAUGUACUAGACAAAAUGAAAAUAAAACUAGUUCUGUUAGG